AUAAAAGAUAUUAAGGGCCAUAGGUGGAUGCCUUGGCUGGUAGAGGCGAUGAAAGACGUACUAGGCUGCGAAAAGCCUCGGGGAGCUGCCAAGAAGCUUUGAUCCGGGGAUUUCUGAAUGGGGCAACCCAACAUGGAGAGAUUCAUGUUACCCUACGGGGGGCGAACCAAGGGAAGUGAAACAUCUCAGUACCUUGAGGAAAAGAGAUCAAUUGAGAUUCCGGGAGUAGCGGCGAGCGAAACUGGAGUAGGGCGGAUAGUGAUAAUAUAUUUGUUAGCUAAAGGAUCUGGAAAGUUCCGGCAUAGAGGGUGAUACUCCCGUAAGCGAAAACAUUUAUAUGGUACUAGGCUAUCGAACGAGUAGGUCGGGACACGUGUUAUCUUGACUGAAUAUGGGGGGACCACCCUCCAACCCUAAAUACUACUACCAGACCGAUAGUGAACAAGUACCGUGAGGGAAAGGUGAAAAGGACUGCGGUGAGCAGAGUGAAAUAGAACCUGAAACCUAUGGCUUACAAUCAUUCGGAGCACUAUUAUAAAGUGUGACGGACUGCCUUUUGCAUAAUGAGCCUGCGAGUUGUGGUAUCUGGCAAGGUUAAGCGAACGCGAAGCCGUAGCGAAAGCGAGUCUUAAUAGGGCGACAUAGUCAGAUGCUGCAGACCCGAAACUGAGUGAUCUAUCCAUGAGCAGGUUGAAGCUGGUGUAAGAGCCAGUGGAGGACCGAACCCGCUGACGUUGAAAAGUCAUGGGAUGACUUGUGGAUAGGGGU
Molecule: ribosomal RNA, 768 nt
Filed under: Campylobacterota bacterium
Lineage: Bacteria; Pseudomonadati; Campylobacterota
Description: Epsilonproteobacteria bacterium (hot springs metagenome) partial 23S ribosomal RNA
Rfam family: Bacterial large subunit ribosomal RNA
Source: RNAcentral